GAUGAACGCUGGCGGCGUGCCUAAUACAUGCAAGUCGAGCGAACGGACGAGAAGCUUGCUUUUCUGAUGUUAGCGGCGGACGGGUGAGUAACACGUGGAUAACCUACCUAUAAGACUGGGAUAACUUCGGGAAACCGGAGCUAAUACCGGAUAAUAUUUUGAACCGCAUGGUUCAAAAGUGAAAGACGGUCUUGCUGUCACUAAUAGAUGGAUCCGCGCUGCAUUAGCUAGUUGGUAAGGUAACGGCUUACCAAGGCAACGAUGCAUAGCCGACCUGAGAGGGUGAUCGGCCACACGGGAGCUGAGACACGGUCCAGACUCCUACGGGAGGCAGCAGUAGGGAAUCUUACGCAAUGGGGGAGAGCCUGACGGAGCAACGCCGCGUGAGUGAUGAAGGUCUUCGGAUCGGAAAGCUCUGUUAUUAGGGAAGAACAGAUGUGUAAGUAACUGUGCACAUAUUGACGGUACCUAAUCAAAAAGCCACGGCUAACUACGUG
RNAcentral lists this ribosomal RNA (497 nucleotides) under uncultured bacterium. RNAcentral's name for it is "partial 16S ribosomal RNA". It matches the Rfam family "Bacterial small subunit ribosomal RNA", at positions 28 to 507 of the family's 1533-position model. The record is from RNAcentral.